Molecule: ribosomal RNA, 403 nt
Filed under: uncultured bacterium
Lineage: Bacteria
Description: partial 16S ribosomal RNA
Rfam family: Bacterial small subunit ribosomal RNA
Source: RNAcentral
AUUGAACGCUGGCGGCAUGCCUAACACAUGCAAGUCGAGCGAGCGGCGGACGGGUGCGUACUGUAUGGGGACUGCCCGAUAGCGGCGGAUAACUACUGGAAACGGUUUCUAAUACCGCAUACUGUCGGAUCCCCCUUAUGGGAUUAGCUAGUCGGUAAGGUAAUGGCUUACCUAGGCGACGAUCCCUACCUGGUCUGAGAGGAUGAUCGGCCAAACUGGGACUGAGACACGGCCCAGACUCCUACGGAGGCAGCAGUGGGGAAUAUUGCACAAUGGACGCAAGCCUGAUGCAGCCAGGCCGCGUGUAUGAAGAAGGCCCUAGGGUUGUAAAGUACUUUCAGUCGGGAGGCGUUACCGACAGAAGAAGCACCGGCUAACUCCGUGCCAGCAGCCGCGGUAAUUC